CACCUGGUAGCACACGGUGUGCAUCUGCUGAUUACUUAUGUCGCUUCUUGAGUAAUGAUGUCAGCAGAAGGUCUCCUGUUCGAUCCGGGGUCGGGUGG
Non-coding RNA from Mycena galericulata, 98 nucleotides. The record is from the annotation of a GenBank genome assembly. Lineage: Eukaryota; Fungi; Basidiomycota; Agaricomycetes; Agaricales; Mycenaceae.